RNAcentral lists this ribosomal RNA (440 nucleotides) under uncultured bacterium. RNAcentral describes it as "partial 16S ribosomal RNA". It matches the Rfam family "Bacterial small subunit ribosomal RNA", at positions 338 to 795 of the family's 1533-position model. The record is from RNAcentral.
CCUACGGGUGGCAGCAGUGGGGGAUAUUGCACAAUGGGGGAAACCCUGAUGCAGCGACGCCGCGUGAGUGAAGAAGUAUUUCGGUAUGUAAAGCUCUAUCAGCAGGGAAGAAAAUGACAGUACCUGACCAAGAAGCCCCGGCUAACUACGGGCCAGCAGCCGCGGGAAUCCGUAGGGGGCAAGCGUUAUCCGGAUUUACUGGGUGUAAAGCGAGCGUAGACGGUUAUGUAUGUCUGGAGUGAAAGCCCGGGGCCCAACCCCGGGACUGCUUUGGAAACUGUGUAACUGGAGGACAGGAGGGGCAGGCGGAAUUCCUGGUGUAGCGGUGGAAUGCGUAGAUAUCAGGAGGAACACCGGCGGCGAAGGCGGCCUGCUGGACUGAAACUGACGUUGAGGCUCGAAAGCGUGGGGAGCGAACAGGAUUAGAUACCCGUGUAGUC